CUAAUACAUGCAAGUCGAGCGAGCUUGCCUAGAUGAUUUUAGUGCUUGCACUAAAUGAAACUAGAUACAAGCGAGCGGCGGACGGGUGAGUAACACGUGGGUAACCUGCCCAAGAGACUGGGAUAACACCUGGAAACAGAUGCUAAUACCGGAUAACAACACUAGACGCAUGUCUAGAGUUUGAAAGAUGGUUCUGCUAUCACUCUUGGAUGGACCUGCGGUGCAUUAGCUAGUUGGUAAGGUAACGGCUUACCAAGGCAAUGAUGCAUAGCCGAGUUGAGAGACUGAUCGGCCACAUUGGGACUGAGACACGGCCCAAACUCCUACGGGAGGCAGCAGUAGGGAAUCUUCCNCAAUGGACGAAAGUCUGAUGGAGCAACGCCGCGUGAGUGAAGAANGGNUUCCGGCUCGUAAAGCUCUGUUGGU
This 426-nucleotide ribosomal RNA is filed under the name Lactobacillus sp. DumLac37. RNAcentral's name for it is "bacterial SSU rRNA". It matches the Rfam family "Bacterial small subunit ribosomal RNA", at positions 48 to 440 of the family's 1533-position model. Lineage: Bacteria; Bacillati; Bacillota; Bacilli; Lactobacillales; Lactobacillaceae. The record is from RNAcentral.